CGGACCAAGGAGUUUAUCGUGUACGCAAGUCAUUGGGUGUAUAAAACCCAAAGGCGAAAUGAAAGUAAAGAGUAGAUAUUUGUUUUAAAAUAUUAUUAUUUUUUAACAAUCUCUCUUAAGGGAAGAUGGAAAUAUCAUAUAUAUUUAUAUAUAUGAAUAUUUCCCGCACUCCCAGGGCGCUUGUAUCUCGCUUUGCGAGUUGAUGCGCACCUAGAGCGUACACGAUGAUACCCGAAAGAUGGUGAACUAUGCCUGGCCAGGACGAAGCCAGGGGAAACCCUGGUGGAGGUCCGCAGCGAUUCUGACGUGCAAAUCGAUCGUCGGAGCUGGGUAUAGGGGCGAAAGACCAAUCGAACCAUCUAGUAGCUGGUUCCCUCUGAAGUUUCCCUCAGGAUAGCUUGCACUCGGUUGAGAAGAGUCUCAUCCGGUAGAGCGAAUGAUUAGAGGCAUUGGGGUCGAAACGACCUCAACCUAUUCUCAAACUCCAAAUAGAUGAGAUCCCCGGCUUUCUUAAAAGUGAAGCCGCGGGAAUAUGAUCAGAGUGCCAAGUGGGCCAAUUUUGGUAAGCA
RNAcentral lists this ribosomal RNA (569 nucleotides) under Canthesancus sp. 00052211. Its description in RNAcentral is "eukaryotic LSU rRNA". It matches the Rfam family "Eukaryotic large subunit ribosomal RNA", at positions 662 to 1146 of the family's 3401-position model. The record is from RNAcentral. Lineage: Eukaryota; Metazoa; Arthropoda; Insecta; Hemiptera; Reduviidae.